Molecule: ribosomal RNA, 468 nt
Filed under: Triticum aestivum (bread wheat)
Lineage: Eukaryota; Viridiplantae; Streptophyta; Magnoliopsida; Poales; Poaceae
Description: partial small subunit ribosomal RNA
Source: RNAcentral
AUGGCCAUCUUCGAUGAGUUCUAUGUCGGAUCCAUCGACCUCGGGCGCCUCAACUAUGGGAUCAUCUCGCUCAUCCCGAAGGUUCCGGGCGCCUCCGACAUCCGCCAGUUUCGUCCGAUCACGGUCAUCAACGUGAUCUUCUGGAUUCUGGCGAAAGGGUACGCCAAUAGAGUGACCCUCCUCGCUGACCGCAUUACCCACCCCAACCAGUUCGCCUUCAUUCAGGGGCGGUAUAUCCUGGAUGGGGUGCUUGUUCUUCAUGAAAUCCUCCAUGAGGUCCGGUCUAAACACCUCAGGGCGGUUUUCUUGAAGAUCGAUUUCCAUAAGGCCUACGACACCGUUAGUUGGCCCUUCCUUCGGGAAGUUUUGCUCCGGAAAGGCUUUGACGACCGUUGGGUCACCAGAGUUAUGCAGAUGGUCUCUUGCGGUCGCACUGCCGUGAACAUUGAAAGUGCUAGUAUCGACUAG